CAUGGACAUGGGGGAUCCAGUGGUCAGAGUGUGCUUGGACUUUCAGAAAGCCUUUGACAAGAUCCCUCACCAAAGGCUCUUAAACCAAGGAUCUCCAGCGAGUCCAGAUGGAUUUAGACCCCGGCAGAGACUUCACGCCUUUGGGAAUGAUGCAGCCAGCCCGGAUUGUCAACGGCACAGGGCUCCGGGCGGCCUUUGCAAAGCAAACUGGUGUUUAUUCAUCCCCUGCAAUCCAGGACUAACGGGGCACACACACAAGAAUAGGACGUGCAGUGGAUCCAAGCUACCCGGAUGUCCGGAAGGGUUUGGAUCCAGUUCCACAUGGGAAACUAUUUGUUACAUUGAA
Long non-coding RNA from Malaclemys terrapin pileata, 346 nucleotides. RefSeq lists it as uncharacterized. The record is from RefSeq and is a predicted model, not a curated record. The transcript is spliced from 3 exons. NCBI's taxonomy places the organism in Eukaryota, Metazoa, Chordata, Testudines, Emydidae.